CGACGGAAUGAGCGGCGGACGGGUGAGUAACACGUAAAGAACCUGCCCUCAGGUCUGGGAUAACCACGAGAAAUCGGGGCUAAUACCGGAUAGGUCAUCGAACCGCAUGGUUCGAGGAUGAAAGGCGCUUCGGCGUCGCCUGGGGAUGGCUUUGCGGUGCAUUAGCUAGUUGGUGGGGUAAUGGCCCACCAAGGCGACGAUGCAUAGCCGACCUGAGAGGGUGAUCGGCCACACUGGGACUGAGACACGGCCCAGACUCCUACGGGAGGCAGCAGUAGGGAAUCUUCCACAAUGGACGAAAGUCUGAUGGAGCAACGCCGCGUGAGUGAUGAAGGUUUUCGGAUCGUAAAACUCUGUUGUAAGGGAAGAACAGGUAUGAGAGGUAAUGCUCAUGCUAUGACGGUACCUUACGAGAAAGCCACGGCUAACUACGUGCCAGCAGCCGCGGUAAUACGUAGGUGGCAAGCGUUGUCCGGAAUUAUUGGGCGUAAAGCGCGCGCAGGCGGCCUUUUAAGUCUGAUGUGAAAGCCCCCGGCUCA
This 539-nucleotide ribosomal RNA is filed under the name uncultured Exiguobacterium sp. RNAcentral's name for it is "bacterial SSU rRNA". It matches the Rfam family "Bacterial small subunit ribosomal RNA", at positions 84 to 611 of the family's 1533-position model. The record is from RNAcentral. Lineage: Bacteria; Bacillati; Bacillota; Bacilli; Caryophanales.